Amphiprion ocellaris (clown anemonefish) is the source of this 1612-nucleotide long non-coding RNA. RefSeq lists it as uncharacterized. The transcript has 2 exons. The record is from RefSeq and is a predicted model, not a curated record. NCBI's taxonomy places the organism in Eukaryota, Metazoa, Chordata, Actinopteri, Pomacentridae.
UUAAUUUAUUAGCAUGAUUUCUUUUUAAUAUGUUGUCUACAGACUUAAUUACUUCUCUGUCUACUUUUCUUACUCCAUGUAGGUUUCCCAGAGACUAUGGGUUGAGGAGGAACUGGAAGUUUGUCGGCUUAGACCUGGUGUCAUUCCAUCAGUGUUAAACUUCCCGGCUCAUCUUGGAAGAACCAAAGAACUACAGACUCUUCACAACCUGCUCAAACUCUUGGUACAGGACCUCACCACACGGGUCAAGAAGGUUUCUGUCUCAUUUCUACUCUGAAGAUCACCUUCUCCUGCUCAAACUGCUGACAAAUGUUUCUGCUGCUCUAAAGUCUGGUCUCCAGAACUUCCUAAAAACUCUCAAAGUCUCUUCUGCUGCAGGUUGCUUUGUAGAACUGUUGCAGAAAACCUCACUAAACCACAUGGAGGGGCCUCAAGAUAGUCGUCCAAAUGAAACCGUACAAAAACCAAACUAGCACAACCUAAACACUAAAGUCUCCUGCAGCCUACCAGAGAACCUCUGAGAACAGAGAAUCAGGACAGGAACUCUUACCUUCUGGACAACCAACAUUGGUUCUCAAACAAGAAUACAGAAUGUGUCUGACCAAAAACCUCUAACGACUCACUACAGCCAAGAUAAAGACACAACUCAGCUGCACCAAAUCCACUAAUCACUGCACACAUUAGCACCAUGUACUAACUGUGGCUAAAGAACCACAUUUACCAAGACAACUAUCCAGUACAAAGCCCUAAAACACACCAAGAAACACAUUAAAGACGAUUUUACUGCUGGAAGCUGCAAGCCAACGCCUAAAGAACAAACUACAGCAAUGGAGCCAAACCCAGUUCAGUGGUGAAGAGAAGCAGAGGAAAUGUUUGUCUGCAGCUAAAUAAAGCAGGAAGACACUGAGCUGCUCAGGUGUUCCUAAUAACACCAAGCAGCCACCUGGACAGCCAAUAGGAACACAGCCACCUGGACAGCCAAUAGGAACACAGCUUCCUGGAAGUCCAGAGGGCUGGCUUAGUGAAGGAAAUUUAGUUUAAAGUUGAAGCAGAAAGUUAAUAAAGAAAGUUGAAAACCACCUUCUGAUACCUGAAAUCUCUGAGUUUUCACACAAAGAAUGCCUGAACAUGUCAAACUGGUUCCAUAGUAGAACCAUCAUUGUAAAAACGUCAUAGUAUGGUGUGUUGCUCAAAAAACAUUAGGACCUGGCUGUCAGGGGACAAACAUGUAAGAAACAUGAGAACAGAGAGAACCCAACCAGUAGGUCACAGUUUAUCAUCCCCCAGUCAUCUCCUGAAGUCCAUAUGGUGAGAGACAUCAGUAUCUGGUUGUUAAUUUACCAGAGGAUGCUUAUAAUCAUGCUGAUGUGGUCUGUACUCUACAGUAUUUUAGUGACUCAAUAAAUGCCUAAGUUGUUUUUUUUUAAAUGCUUUUUAGUUUUUAAUAAACAUUUAACAGCCUAUAUGUAAUCAAUAAGUGGCCUUUGCCUAUCUUAAGAAAAAUUCACUCAGAACUCUGAUAUGUUAACAGUACUAAAUAAAUCAAUAAAUACAUGCAUACACACAAAAAUAAGUUAAUACAUUAACUGUGUUAAGAUAAGAUUUAGAUUUU